This 1063-nucleotide ribosomal RNA is filed under the name Salmonella enterica. RNAcentral describes it as "partial 23S ribosomal RNA". It matches the Rfam family "Bacterial large subunit ribosomal RNA", at positions 1292 to 2338 of the family's 2925-position model. RNAcentral also lists the same sequence under 1 other name. Lineage: Bacteria; Pseudomonadati; Pseudomonadota; Gammaproteobacteria; Enterobacterales; Enterobacteriaceae. The record is from RNAcentral.
GAAUGCUGACAUAAGUAACGAUAAAGCGGGUGAAAAGCCCGCUCGCCGGAAGACCAAGGGUUCCUGUCCAACGUUAAUCGGGGCAGGGUGAGUCGACCCCUAAGGCGAGGCCGAAAGGCGUAGUCGAUGGGAAACGGGUUAAUAUUCCCGUACUUGGUGUUACUGCGAAGGGGGGACGGAGAAGGCUAUGUUGGCCGGGCGACGGUUGUCCCGGUUUAAGCGUGUAGGUGUGUGUUCCAGGUAAAUCCGGUUCACUUUAACACUGAGGCGUGACGACGAGGCACUACGGUGCUGAAGCAACAAAUGCCCUGCUUCCAGGAAAAGCCUCUAAGCAUCAGGUAACAUCAAAUCGUACCCCAAACCGACACAGGUGGUCAGGUAGAGAAUACCAAGGCGCUUGAGAGAACUCGGGUGAAGGAACUAGGCAAAAUGGUGCCGUAACUUCGGGAGAAGGCACGCUGACACGUAGGUGAAGUGAUUUACUCAUGGAGCUGAAGUCAGUCGAAGAUACCAGCUGGCUGCAACUGUUUAUUAAAAACACAGCACUGUGCAAACACGAAAGUGGACGUAUACGGUGUGACGCCUGCCCGGUGCCGGAAGGUUAAUUGAUGGGGUCAGCGCAAGCGAAGCUCCUGAUCGAAGCCCCGGUAAACGGCGGCCGUAACUAUAACGGUCCUAAGGUAGCGAAAUUCCUUGUCGGGUAAGUUCCGACCUGCACGAAUGGCGUAAUGAUGGCCAGGCUGUCUCCACCCGAGACUCAGUGAAAUUGAACUCGCUGUGAAGAUGCAGUGUACCCGCGGCAAGACGGAAAGACCCCGUGAACCUUUACUAUAGCUUGACACUGAACAUUGAGCCUUGAUGUGUAGGAUAGGUGGGAGGCUUUGAAGUGUGGACGCCAGUCUGCAUGGAGCCGACCUUGAAAUACCACCCUUUAAUGUUUGAUGUUCUAACGUGGACCCGUUACCCGGGUUGCGGACAGUGUCUGGUGGGUAGUUUGACUGGGGCGGUCUCCUCCUAAAGAGUAACGGAGGAGCACGAAGGUUGGCUAAUCCUGGUCGGACAU